CCGCCGCGACCGGCGCACGGGUGAGUAACACGUAUGCAACCUGGCCGUGACAGAUGGAUAACCGGGAGAAAUCCCGCCUAAUACAACAUAAUGCCGGGAGGGGACAUCCCCUGCCGGCCAAAGGGGGCGACCCCGGUCACGGAUGGGCAUGCGGCGCAUUAGGUAGUUGGUGGGGGCAACGGCCCACCAAGCCGACGAUGCGUAGGGGUUCUGAGAGGAAGGUCCCCCACAUUGGAACUGAGACACGGUCCAAACUCCUACGGGAGGCAGCAG
This 273-nucleotide ribosomal RNA is filed under the name uncultured bacterium. RNAcentral's name for it is "partial 16S ribosomal RNA". It matches the Rfam family "Bacterial small subunit ribosomal RNA", at positions 86 to 354 of the family's 1533-position model. The record is from RNAcentral.